RNAcentral lists this unclassified non-coding RNA (240 nucleotides) under soil metagenome. Its description in RNAcentral is "partial contains 5.8S ribosomal RNA, internal transcribed spacer 2, and large subunit ribosomal RNA". The record is from RNAcentral.
AAGACUAUAGACCUGCGGAGUACCUGCGGAAGGAUCAUUAUCGUAUUGUAACAAUUGGGGGGGCCACCGUGGGCUGUCGCUGACCCUUUGAAAGGGGGGUCGUGCACGCCCCCAUAGUGUCAUCCUCAUACAAUCCAACUCACCUCUGUGCAUCACCGCGUGGGUUCCUUUCUGGGUCGAGUCAGACUGGCUCAGAAAAAAGGGGCUUGCGUUUUCCAUACAAAUACCCUCAUAAAUCCA